CCUAUACUCCUGGCCAUCCCCUCCAUUGAGCUCGAGCAGCUCUCCUCGACUCCCCUGGCCGCCGUGCCCGCCGUCAGCCUCGGCCUAAAUUGGCUCGAUACCGACCCUCCACCUCCUUUCUGUAGCCACCAGAGGAGUCCCCUCGACCCUCCUGACCCUCCCCACCUACUUGCCCCUCGCCGGAGUAUCCCGCAGCCCCGUAGCCCAACCUCACCCGAGGCCAUCUCCGCCGGAGUCCACGGCCUAGUCGCUCCGAUCCUCCUCGGCGUCCAUGUCCUUGCUGAAUGGAUCCGCCUCGUCUUGCUGAGCUCGUCGGUAGGUCGCGUGCCCCGUAUGGUGGCCGGGAUCACCGGCGAGCCUCGUCGGGGUGAGCUCCCCUACUCGGCCCGAUGCGUCAAGGCAGGAGGAAGAAGAAGGAGGCCAGGAGGAGAGAGAAGAUGCGGUGGGCCCCGCCUAUAAGUGACCCAGCCGCCGGGCCCGUGUUGACCCAGAUAGGUCCGUGGCAGAAAACACUCCAUAUCUUUUUAUCCGUAACUCCAAAUGAGCCCCUCCGAGAGAGAACUGUCUCUAGCAAAUCUUUCCG
This is a long non-coding RNA of Triticum dicoccoides, 583 nucleotides long. RefSeq lists it as uncharacterized. NCBI's taxonomy places the organism in Eukaryota, Viridiplantae, Streptophyta, Magnoliopsida, Poales, Poaceae. The transcript is spliced from 3 exons. The record is from RefSeq and is a predicted model, not a curated record.